Molecule: long non-coding RNA, 3896 nt
Organism: Sceloporus undulatus (fence lizard)
Lineage: Eukaryota; Metazoa; Chordata; Lepidosauria; Squamata; Phrynosomatidae
Exons: 6
Source: RefSeq, a predicted model, not a curated record
UCUGGGCGGGACAGGGAAGGGGUCCUCCUGGGUGUGAGGAGCCCCGAGGGGAGCCUUUUUUCCUCUUCACCCCACAAGCAGCCGGAGAAGGCCCUUCCCCCUCUCAGCGUGGGGAGAAAGUGUGGGGGAGACUUCUGGCUGCUGCUUGUGCCCCCUGCCAUGGCCCCACACUGGGCUUGACCCCCUCCCUCCCUCCCUCCCUCCCUCCCUGAGUCGCAGCCCCCCAGAAACUGGACCGGAGGCAGGCAACCCAGAACAGCGCCGAAGCAGUCGUCCCUCGGUAUCCACGGAUUCUUUCCCGCCGAGUCAAGCCUCCGCGGCUUCAAAAUGUUCCGAGAAAGAUAUAGAAAUGCUCAUAAGCGAGCCUUGGCUUUGCCCUUUUUCCCCAAGGGACCCCCUUGCCCUCUGCCAGUGUAUUGAAUGGACUUCAGCAUCCACGGAGUUUGGUCUCCAAAGGGGCCUCCAGGGACCGGACCGCGAUGGAUGCCAAGGGCCCACCGCGCUCCUCCGCCUCCUCCUCCUCCUCCUCGGCUUCAUAAAAUAUUGAGUUUUUAAGGGAGGGGGACCCAGUGCGCUUCUUGCAAAGCCUGACUCCGAGGCUUCAUCCACACUGGAGAAAUAACCCGGUUUGGCACCGCUUGAACUCUUUUCUGGCUCAAGGCUAUGGAAUUCUGGGAGUUGGAGUUUGCUGUGGCACCAGAACGGAUGUUCUCUCUACCUUUUAUCAUCCUUGGCUGCAUCUACACUGCAGAGUCAGUGUGGUUUGACACUGCUUGAACUCAAAGGACCAAAGUUUGGGAAUCAGGACAUCUGCUUCUUCCUUCUGCUUCACUAGCACUCGAAAGGAGACUUAAAGGAAAAGGAUUGUGUUUGACUUAGACAAUUUUGCUAUACCCUUAUUGUUUAUUUCCAAAGACAAACCAUAGAUUUCUUAAAGCAUUCUGUAAAUAGAGCUGAGAUGCAUGUUCUGAUCAUCUGCUGUGAACAUCUGCUCUGUUUACAUUAGGAUUUGAUGACUUGUCCUACAAGAUCUGUGUAGUCUCCAGCUUAAUAAGGCAGAUCAAGAGAAUAAAUCUGUGUGAUCAGAAAUGCCCUAAAACACUAGAUGGGUAAAUAUCAAAAUCUGUCACCUCUUGGUUUUGCCCAGAGCUGCUCUUUGUCUAUGAGCCUCCAAACAGAGCUUCAGGUUCAGACAGUUGUAUGAACCCACUGAAGACAUUAGUCCUUAGACUUAGCUCAGUAAGAGGAGAGGGCUCCUAUUCACAUCCUCUAGCCCACUGUGUGAUGUCUUUUAGGUAUACCAAGACAUGUUUACUCUCCCUGAGAGGCCGGAUAUGCCCUUCCUUGCACAGUCCUCCUUGCAACCCUCCAGAGAUAAAGAGUGAACUUUCCAGAUGUUCUUUUCACUCUCUCCAAAUUGUCUAAGGUGACCCUUCUGAGUCAUUGAGACGGAUUGGGGCUUCCGAGCAGACAGCUCCAGGUGCUGCCAAUCAAAAGGAACUGGGUGCUGUCCUUAUUUGUACACACACAGGUUGACCAGGUCUCCUAAAUGCAAAGGAAGAUAAGGAACGGUAAUAUGUAGGACAUUCAAGCAAAAUGUAGGACACAACAAAAGAAAAGCUAAAAGCACUCAUUUCUAGGCCAACAUACCUGGAAGGCUCCAGGCUGGAGAAUGCUGAUUUAGGCUGAAUAAAAUAAGCUUGCUCAGAUGAGAGAAUUCCUUGGAGGUCAUUCCAAGUUUUUGAAGCGGUGACAGAAAAGGACCUCCGGGAGGUCACCGCCAGUCUCAUCUUUCUAGAUUGUAAGAGGUUUUUCCUGGAGGAUUGGGGUGUACGGGCAGGAUUGUAUGGGAGGAGGCGUUCCUUCAAGUAGACUGGACGCAGACCAUGUUGAUUGGUUAAGAUGUAAAUCAGCAGUGGCCAAGGACAAAAGAAACCAAGCAUCACUAUCUGAGUCUGAAGCAAAUGCUCAGGCUUUUUUGUGGAACACUGUACCCAUGGAAAUCAUCAUGUCACUCAUACCUGUGACUUUAAGGACAAAAGCUCUAUGAUUCUCUAUAUAUGUAUAACUGUGAAACCAGUACAAGAGACAGCAAGAGAAAAGCUGCUCAACAUGAGUCUGUUCUAUAGUCCUCAUGACAAGCACUGAGAUUGGAUUAGCAUAAAAGUGAAUGCUUUACUAAGCCCUGGCUUAUAUAAAGUAACCAUAUGCUGUGUCAGUACCACUAAGGGAUGAAGUCAUGCCAUGCUCUUCAGUGGAUGCCAACAAUUGCCUUUUAUGCAAUUUUCUGAAUCACCCCAUUGUACCAAGCUCACUCACCAUACUUUUCAUAUGCAGAAUGCUUAGGGUACAAAAUGAUAAAAAAGGAGGCUGUAGAAUAUUCCUCAUCCUAUCCCCAUAGCUCAUUCACACUGCAACUGUAUCAGUGUGUAUUGUCAAGGGGGGAAAUGUUUCUGUACAACAGUAUUGCCACCAAGAAUAUAUUUUCCUAACAAACCAAAAUGUAUUGGCAUAGGUAGCAUACUGCUCAUUUAAAUGCAUUUUAAUUGUGCACUUCUGACUUUGUCAUUCAGUUAGCUGGAAGUGAGACAAGUACACACAUUCUAAGAAGAAGUAUUGAUUGUAUCAAUAAACCUAUGAGUGCAGUUGUGUUCUGUUUUACAUGUUCCUUAGGCAGUAUGGCAUUAAAUGCUCCUGCCUGUGUAUUCAUAAUGAAAUUGGGAGUGCCCCCAUCUCCAGACAGGAAAAUGUUCAUGAAUAUGGAGAAAAGGAGAAUUGAUCUGCUUCUCUUUUUGUGUUUUGAGUGGGAUCUCUGUAAGAAGUAACUGGAUAAAGUUUGUUUCUGCCUUUAAGGCCAUGUGCACAACAGCUUGUGAGAAUGAGCAUGUCAAGGAAAAGGGGGAAAGCACUCAUGUCAUAAUACUUGAUUGGAUAUUCUGCUCUGUAGUCAGGAUUGCUAGUGUUGCUGAAUUAUGGGAGUUGAGGUAGAACAACAUCUGGAAAGCCACUCAGGCUUUAGACUCAGACGUACUUUGUUGCAUCAUUGGUAAUUUAUGGAAACUGCAAGUUUUAAUUCUGGUAAUUGGUUCCAGAUCAACUAAAUAGCUCUUUUGUGUUCUAAGGUUGUUUUCCUUUGAAUAAAAGUUGUUUGAGUUAGACCACAGACAUGAUCUUACCAGAAACAUUUGGUUAGCCAUUGUUGGAAAGCAGAUGCUGGACUGGAUAUUUAAGAGGUUGUGCAGACCACCCCUAAGGGGCGGCCUGCAGCUGUCUUCAUCUGCACCGGAUUGGUUCUGUGGCAACUGCACACUGUGGGCCCAAUCUGGCCUUUCCAGGGCACAGCGCCAGAGGAGGUGCUAUGCCACCAUGCACCGUGUAGAGCAGCACACAACAUCAUGCCACCCUGGGAGCGGAGUUGGGGCAUGUGUCAUGUGGACACCACAACCCUACUCCACCCCCAGGCCAGCCUUAAUGGCCAGUGUGCACAGCCCCUAAGAGAAUUUGCAGCUGGCCUUCCCUCAGUACAAAUGAGUUUAGUAGAGUGAGGACAUAAUUCAAAAGACAGAGAACUCAAGUAGACACUAGAUAGGUGUAGGAAGUGUGUUGAGUUAUACAACACUCAAGUCCUUCCCUACAGCAGCACUUGUUAGCCCUUCAGAAAACAAAUGAGAACCCCAUAUCCAUGGAAUAUGCUUAAGUAGUUUGACAUCAUGAUGUAAAAUUUGCACAUGUACAGCUCUUGUACAGUCUACAAGAGCUGAGUUCUGUCUAGUGAUUGCCUCUUCAAAAGUGUCAAAGUAUUAUGCCUUAACUUAUUCAGGUCUAUCACCAUACAAACCACACAGGGAAACUGCAAAGUGAAAUGACAGUUCUUUAAUAAAACAUCAGACACUUUC